GUGCUCGCUUCGGCAGCACAUAUACUAAAAUUGGAACAUACAGAGGAGAUUAGCAUGGCCCCUGCACAAGGAUGACAUGCAUAUUGGUGAAGCAUUCCGCCUUUAA
RNAcentral lists this small nuclear RNA (106 nucleotides) under Myotis davidii. Lineage: Eukaryota; Metazoa; Chordata; Mammalia; Chiroptera; Vespertilionidae. The record is from RNAcentral.